GAUGAACGCUGGCGGUAUGCUUAACACAUGCAAGUCGAACGGUCUUUUCGGAGAUAGUGGCGGACGGGUGAGUAACGCGUGAGAAUCUAGCUCUAGGUUUGGGACAACCACUGGAAACGGUGGCUAAUACCGGAUAUGCCGAAAGGUGAAAGGUUAACUGCCUGGAGAUGAGCUCGCGUCUGAUUAGCUAGUUGGUAGGGUAAAAGCUUACCAAGGCGACGAUCAGUAGCUGGUCUGAGAGGACGAUCAGCCACACUGGGACUGAGACAC
RNAcentral lists this ribosomal RNA (270 nucleotides) under Rhizonema sp. 'cyanobiont of Cora accipiter'. RNAcentral describes it as "partial 16S ribosomal RNA". It matches the Rfam family "Bacterial small subunit ribosomal RNA", at positions 28 to 327 of the family's 1533-position model. Lineage: Bacteria; Bacillati; Cyanobacteriota; Cyanophyceae; Nostocales; Rhizonemataceae. RNAcentral also lists the same sequence under 21 other names. The record is from RNAcentral.